GUGCUCGCUUCAGCAGCACAUAUAUACUAAAAUUGGAAUGAUACAGAGAAGAUUAGCAUGGCCCCUGCGCAAAGAUGACACACAAAUUCAUGAAGCAUUCCAUAUUUUU
This is a small nuclear RNA of Gorilla gorilla gorilla (western lowland gorilla), 109 nucleotides long. Lineage: Eukaryota; Metazoa; Chordata; Mammalia; Primates; Hominidae. The record is from Ensembl.